CCCAACUCCGAGUAUAUAAGGACCUUUAGGAAAGUUGGAAGAACAGGUAAGAAUCCCAAGUGUUCACUUCCUUCCCCAGCACAGAAACUUGACCUCAACCCAUUAACAACAUGGCUAUGGAGGAGGAGGAAGAAGAAGAGGAAGAAGAUGAUGGUGGUGGAUGAAUUCAGUACUUGCAUACUAAGCUUAUAUGCUACUCUUCUCUCUCUGUUAUUGGAAGAGAGAGAAGUGGAGAAAAAGGCAAGUCAUAGAGGCAAAGGGAAGGCAAAGCCUUUCUUCCAGGUUUCAUUCAUGAAGCUGCAUCGCUGUCAUACCAGACAUGUUUAGCAGUUUCUAUCUAAAAUCAGUCUUUGUUUUGUUGAAUGUUGAAGGGGCCAUGGCGCUCAUUUAGUUUUUGUUUUCCCCUCUGUUCCUUCACCCACUCUUCACAUAGAUAAGUCGGUCAGUCAUUCCAAGUGUUUCACUCAGAAACCUUUGUAUUAAGAUGCAGACACUGACGUGUGGCGAGUAGCUUGAAAUUAGGGUUUGUAAGCUUCUGCUGCCUGUUUUUUUGGAAACCAUGAAUAAACUGUAUCGCUGAUGAGUGUUGACUGUUUUCCUACAGCUAAGAUUAUUCUGUUUUGGAUAAAAGCUUGCAUUUUUAACGUUAUACCCUUCUAUUCCCUCCUUGUAACAGGUCUGAAGGAAUUCUCUGUAGGUAAACUAUAAUAUUGAUCUUCAUAAGGUUUAUCACUUAAAACCGCUUCCUUGCAUAUACAUCAAGAAGAAAUACAGAGUUGCAACAAAUCUACAGAAACAAUCAAAUUAAAAGGGUUCGUUUUGACAAAUACAGGUUCGUAAAUGGUAAAUAGAAAGGAAAAAAAAUCAUGUAUCAAACAUCAAAGGGCAUGAUAUGACCCUGAUUUCGCACUCAACUUCUAGCUCAGUGCGACCUUUAGGCGAUCGAGAGGAGCGGUUGCAGUACGAGAAGCAGCUCCAGCUAUUCCCCCUGCAAUGAAGUAUUUGCUUUGGUUCACAUGCUUGCUGAUACCUUCUGGAAUGACAGCCUGUUCUCCAAUGUCUACAAGACCUUAAAGAGAUCCUUAGCAUACUUAUACUCAGACGGAAUCUGUAGGGCAGACAGGCCAGCCUCAAUCUGAACAUAAUCCAGAUACCCAUUAUUGGCAGCAUCGAAAAAAUUGAAGAGGCUACGAAUUCGAAGAUCUCUCUCGUCUUUGGUUUCACGUAAAGCAAGGAGGACAUGAUCAAUCGAAACCGAUCCCUUUUUCCUGACGGAAUUGCUACGACCACCGCCUACGCCGCCAUGAUCGGAAGCUUGGGCAACGGUGGAAUUCCCUAAAGCCUUGGAUUUCGCUUUCGCGUCCACAUUGGAAUAACCCACACGAUCGGCGUCCAUAGCCUGGCCAGCCCCAGACACUCUUUAUAUACUCUCAAUUUUGUAGAAAGAAACUCCCAAUAUAUUCUGAACUUGAACUCAAUUUCGAAUGCAACUAUCUCAGCUUAGUAGGGUCAAAAUGCACACGUCACAAAAAAAGACCUCUGAUAGACACCUGACUAGUGGCUAAACUUCCAUGUUCAAAUAUAUCUAGAAAUAUCAACAGAAAAUCCUGCCGAUGAUAGCGAUUGAAUUGAAGGCCAAAAUCUCGUCAAGACGGGAAGUUACCUGAAACAAAAACUUGCAAUUGGGGACAGUUUUAACUUCCGCUUCGAUAAAUAUCAGUAAUACUAGUAUCCAAUGAGCCAAUUUAACUAGCUUUCUCUUCUUCCCCUGCAAUUGUGGCUGCACAAGGAAGAAACUUUACAUUGUCUCCAGAAUCGAAGACCUUUCUUAAGGCUAAUCGUCAAGCAGAGUCUUGAAUUUGACAGGUUUUCCCACAACAAAGAAGGGUAAAAGAGAAAAAGCGGAAGAAUAAGGAAGAACGAAGAGCCGAUCUUAUUGGAUAUUCUUCCCCACAAGUGCAAAAAAACAAUCUGACCUUGAAUUCGUUGCACCUGUACAGUUGAACGUUGAUGGAUUUGCCGCUUCCUGUUUUCCACAACGAAUGAUUUACCGAACUAUCACCAUGUAAUAUUAUCAUGUGAGAUUUGGGUUGGGUUGAAUGGGCUUGGAUCUUUGGACGGCAGUACACCUUGUAUAGCUCAACAGUAUUGGAAAUUUGAAGUCCGAGUAAGACCAUGACUCGGAAGUUGAAGACUUCUAAUCUGAGUGAAGUUUGGAGAUUGUAUAUUAAUUUUCAAAUUUGGAAUGUGAUCAUUUCAAAAUCCCCAUUGUAUCUUUGGUCAAAAAAAGAAAAAAUCCUCAAUGUAUUUAUUCGUUAUUCAAGA
This is a long non-coding RNA of Prosopis cineraria, 2325 nucleotides long. RefSeq lists it as uncharacterized. The record is from RefSeq and is a predicted model, not a curated record. The transcript has 4 exons. Lineage: Eukaryota; Viridiplantae; Streptophyta; Magnoliopsida; Fabales; Fabaceae.